Molecule: ribosomal RNA, 781 nt
Filed under: uncultured bacterium
Lineage: Bacteria
Description: bacterial SSU rRNA
Rfam family: Bacterial small subunit ribosomal RNA
Source: RNAcentral
UUAGCUAGUUGGUGGGGUAAAAGCCCACCAAGGCGACGAUCUGUAGCUGGUCUGAGAGGACGACCAGCCACACUGGAACUGAGACACGGUCCAGACUCCUACGGGAGGCAGCAGUGGGGAAUCUUGCACAAUGGAGGAAACUCUGAUGCAGCGAUGCCGCGUGAGUGAAGAAGGCCUUUGGGUUGUAAAGCUCUUUUGUAGGGGAAGAUAAUGACUGUACCCUAAGAAUAAGGUCCGGCUAACUUCGUGCCAGCAGCCGCGGUAAUACGAAGGGACCUAGCGUAGUUCGGAAUUACUGGGCGUAAAGCGCGCGUAGGCCGUUGAGUUAGUUAAUUGUGAAAUCCCGAAGCUUAACUUUGGAACUGCAAUUAAAACUGCUCGACUAGAGUUUGAUAGAGGAAAGCGGAAUACAUAGUGUAGAGGUGAAAUUCGUAGAUAUUAUGUAGAACACCAGUUGCGAAGGCGGCUUUCUGGAUCAACACUGACGCUGAGGCGCGAAAGUAUGGGUAGCAAAGAGGAUUAGAUACCCUCGUAGUCCAUACCAUAAACGAUGAUUGCUAGAUGUUGGAAAUUUAUUUUCAGUAUCGCAGCUAACGCAUUAAGCAAUCCGCCUGGGGAGUACGACCGCAAGGUUAAAACUCAAAUGAAUUGACGGGGACCCGCACAAGCGGUGGAGCAUGUGGUUUAAUUCGAAGAUACGCGCAGAACCUUACCAACCCUUGACAUGUCUGUCGCGAGUUUAGGAACUAGACUUUUCGGUCGGCCGGACAGACACAGUGCU